Molecule: ribosomal RNA, 146 nt
Filed under: uncultured eukaryote
Lineage: Eukaryota
Description: partial 18S ribosomal RNA
Rfam family: Eukaryotic small subunit ribosomal RNA
Source: RNAcentral
UGGUGGAGUGAUUUGUCUGGUUAAUUCCGAUAACGAACGAGACCUUAACCUGCUAAAUAGUCACAGUAACUUUGGUUGCUGCCAAUUCUUUGACUUCUUAGAGGGACUACGAAUCUUACAAUUCGUGGAAGUUUGAGGCAAUAACA